Molecule: ribosomal RNA, 497 nt
Filed under: uncultured bacterium
Lineage: Bacteria
Description: partial 16S ribosomal RNA
Rfam family: Bacterial small subunit ribosomal RNA
Source: RNAcentral
GAUGAACGCUGGCGGCGUGCCUAAUACAUGCAAGUCGAGCGAACAGACGAGGAGCUUGCUCCUCUGACGUUAGCGGCGGACGGGUGAGUAACACGUGGAUAACCUACCUAUAAGACUGGGAUAACUUCGGGAAACCGGAGCUAAUACCGGAUAAUAUAUUGAACCGCAUGGUUCAAUAGUGAAAGACGGUUUCGCUGUCACUUAUAGAUGGAUCCGCGCCGCAUUAGCUAGUUGGUAAGGUAACGGCUUACCAAGGCAACGAUGCGUAGCCGACCUGAGAGGGUGAUCGGCCACACUGGAACUGAGACACGGUCCAGACUCCUACGGGAGGCAGCAGUAGGGAAUCUUCCGCAAUGGGCGAAAGCCUGACGGAGCAACGCCGCGUGAGUGAUGAAGGUCUUCGGAUCGUAAAACUCUGCUAUUAGGGAAGAACAAAUGUGUAAGUAACUAUGCACGUCUUGACGGUACCUAAUCAGAAAGCCACGGCUAACUACGUG